GAUGAACGCUGGCGGCGUGCUUAACACAUGCAAGUCGAACGAAGACAUCUGAGUGCUUGCACUUGGAUGGACUGAGUGGCGGACGGGUGAGUAACGCGUGGGUAACCUGCCUUAUACAGGGGGAUAACAGUUGGAAACGACUGCUAAUACCGCAUAAGCGCACGGUUCCGCAUGGAACAGUGUGAAAAACUCCGGUGGUGUGAGAUGGACCCGCGUCUGAUUAGCCAGUUGGCGGGGUAACGGCCCACCAAAGCGACGAUCAGUAGCCGGCCUGAGAGGGUGAACGGCCACAUUGGGACUGAGACACGGCCCAAACUCCUACGGGAGGCAGCAGUGGGGAAUAUUGCACAAUGGGGGAAACCCUGAUGCAGCGACGCCGCGUGAGUGAAGAAGUAUUUCGGUAUGUAAAGCUCUAUCAGCAGGGAAGAAAGUGACGGUACCUGAAUAAGAAGCCCCGGCUAACUACGUG
RNAcentral lists this ribosomal RNA (469 nucleotides) under uncultured bacterium. RNAcentral's name for it is "bacterial SSU rRNA". It matches the Rfam family "Bacterial small subunit ribosomal RNA", at positions 28 to 507 of the family's 1533-position model. The record is from RNAcentral.